This 429-nucleotide ribosomal RNA is filed under the name Gemmatimonadota bacterium. RNAcentral describes it as "Gemmatimonadetes bacterium partial 16S ribosomal RNA". It matches the Rfam family "Bacterial small subunit ribosomal RNA", at positions 355 to 776 of the family's 1533-position model. The record is from RNAcentral. Lineage: Bacteria; Pseudomonadati; Gemmatimonadota.
UAGGGAAUCUUCGGCAAUGGACGAAAGUCUGACCGAGCAACGCCGCGUGAGUGAAGAAGGUUUUCGGAUCGUAAAACUCUGUUGUUAGAGAAGAACAAGGACGUUAGUAACUGAACGUCCCCUGACGGUAUCUAACCAGAAAGCCACGGCUAACUACGUGCCAGCAGCGGCGGUAAUACGUAGGUGGCAAGCGUUGUCCGGAUUUAUUGGGCGUAAAGCGAGCGCAGGCGGUUUCUUAAGUCUGAUGUGAAAGCCCCCGGCUCAACCGGGGAGGGUCAUUGGAAACUGGGAGACUUGAGUGCAGAAGAGGAGAGUGGAAUUCCAUGUGUAGCGGUGAAAUGCGUAGAUAUAUGGAGGAACACCAGUGGCGAAGGCGGCUCUCUGGUCUGUAACUGACGCUGAGGCUCGAAAGCGUGGGGAGCAAACAGG